Molecule: ribosomal RNA, 253 nt
Filed under: uncultured bacterium
Lineage: Bacteria
Description: partial 16S ribosomal RNA
Rfam family: Bacterial small subunit ribosomal RNA
Source: RNAcentral
UACGUAGGGGGCAAGCGUUGUCCGGAAUCAUUGGGCGUAAAGCGCGUGUAGGCGGCCCGGUAAGUCCGCUGUGAAAGUCCAGGGCUCAACCCUGGGAUGCCGGUGGAUACUGUCGGGCUCGAGUCCGGAAGAGGCGAGUGGAAUUCCUGGUGUAGCGGUGAAAUGCGCAGAUAUCAGGAAGAACACCUAUGGCGAAAGCAGCUCUCUGGGACGGUACUGACGCUGAGACGCGAAAGCGUGGGGAGCGAACAGG